This 774-nucleotide long non-coding RNA is filed under the name Cricetulus griseus (Chinese hamster). RNAcentral describes it as "lncRNA (ENSCGRG00015038658.1)". The record is from RNAcentral. Lineage: Eukaryota; Metazoa; Chordata; Mammalia; Rodentia; Cricetidae.
GUGCAAGACAGGAAAUGUUCCUUGGAAGGUCCCCUAUCCCUGAAUGCUGACUGGUGAGAAACAGAACUGUAAAUUGGCACAGAGGUUUGCAGUUUUUCUGCUUAAAUACUUGCUGAAGUGAAUGUUCAGGAAUUAGCCCCAGAGUCAGUACUGUUGUCCCUGACGGUUAAUUUUUGAUGUCCAAUGCAAUAAAGGUCUUGCUCUGUGUGGUCUUGCUCUGUGUGCUUGGGUUGUUUCAGACUCUCGGACCCUACAGCAUGGCUUUAUUUCUUAGAAGUUGAUGGUGUGAGAAAAACGAGAAAACGUUUGCCUAGCUCUGGAACUAUAAGUUCUAGGUUCUAACACUGUUUGGAUCAGAUGAUGAGCGCCAUCUGCAGGCAGGAUGCUGAAAAUUGGAGGAAGAUACCACUGUUCAGCAUUAUUAAAGAUCAGGAAAACAAAGCAAAACAGUAAAUGCUCUUAUAAGCCUUUCAGUGAUACCAAAAUUUUCACAAGCCUCACACCGAAUUGUGGAACCCAUCGAAUUGCAAUCCAUAGAGAAAUGGGGCCCACCUGUAAAAACGCCUACAUCUUCAUACAACCUCCAGUCUUCAUUCACCAUGCCUUGCUGCUGGCACUUGGGGAAGUCGUUGCUGAUGUCACCAAUAUCUUCCACACCCCUUCGUUGUGCUAACAUUUACACAUACCUAGGAGUUUUCUAUCUUCAAAAUGUUUAAAUCUUCCUGGCGGUGGUGGCUCACGCCUUUAAUGCCAGCACUAGGGAGGGAGGCAGAG